AGAGUUUGAUCAUGGCUCAGAACGAACGUUGGCGGCGUGGAUUAGGCAUGCAAGUCGAACGAAUCCCAAGGGGCUUGCUCUUUGGGGGAAGUGGCGAAAGGGGCAGUAAUGCGUGGGUAACCUACCUCGGGGACUGGGAUAGCCUUCCUAACGGAAGGGUAAUACCGGGCGAUCUGGCGGACCGGCAUCGGCCUGCCAGGAGAUGAAUUUCGCCUCGAGAGGGGCUCACGUCGUAUUAGCUUGUUGGCGGGGUAACGGCCCACCAAGGCCAAGAUGCGUAGCGGGUGUGAGAGCACGACCCGCGCCACUGGCACUGAGACACUGGCCAGACACCUACGGGUGGCUGCAGUCGAGGAUCUUCGGCAAUGGGCGCAAGCCUGACCGAGCGACGCCGCGUGUGCGAUGAAGGCCUUCGGGUUGUAAAGCACUGUCGAGGGGGAGGAAGGCGCAAUGACCUAUCCCUGGAGGAAGCACGGGCUAAAGUUCGUGCCAGCAGCCGCGGUAAGACGAACCGUGCGAACGUUGUUCGGAAUCACUGGGCUUAAAGGGCGCGUAGGCGGGCGCUCAAGUCAGGGGUGAAAUCUUUCGGCUCAACCGGAAAAGUGCCCCUGAUACUGAGUGUCUCGAGGAAGGUAGGGGCAGAUGGAACUUCUGGUGGAGCGGUGAAAUGCGUAGAUAUCAGAAGGAACGCCGGUGGCGAAAGCGAUCUGCUGGACCUUUACUGACGCUGAGGCGCGAAAGCGUGGGUAGCAAACAGGAUUAGAUACCCUAGUAGUCC
Molecule: ribosomal RNA, 778 nt
Filed under: uncultured bacterium
Lineage: Bacteria
Description: bacterial SSU rRNA
Rfam family: Bacterial small subunit ribosomal RNA
Source: RNAcentral